This 3554-nucleotide long non-coding RNA is filed under the name Salmo salar (Atlantic salmon). RNAcentral describes it as "lncRNA (ENSSSAG00000091744.1)". The record is from RNAcentral. Lineage: Eukaryota; Metazoa; Chordata; Actinopteri; Salmoniformes; Salmonidae.
AGUUAGGAUAACAGACAUGAUGAACCACCCUACAUAGGAACCCUAGUUAGGAUAACAGACAUGAUGAACCACCCUACAUAGGAACCCUAGUUAGGAUAACAGACAUGAUGAACCACCCUACAUAGGAACCCUAGUUAGGAUAAAUCCUUUUAGGGCUAGGGGGCAGUAUUUUCAGUUUUGGAUGAAAAGCGUGCCCAGAGUAAACGGCCUAAUACUCUGGCCCAGAGUCAAAUGUUUGCAAAUGAUUAGUAGAUUUGGAUAGAAAACAGUCUAAAGUUUCCAAAACUGUUUGAAUGGUGUCUGUGAGUAUAACAGAACUCAUAUGGCAGGCAAAAACCUGAGAGAAAUCCAACCAGGAAAUGAAAUUCUGGUUCCUGUAGUUUUCUCAAGUCCUUGCCUUUCUGACACACAGUGAGUUAGGACUCAAAUAGCACUUCCUAAGGAUUCCACUAGAUGUCAACAGUCUUAGAAAGUUGUUUGAGCCUUUUGCGGUAAACACAGACCGAAGGAGAACGCUGGUAAGCAGGUGACCAGAAAAACACUUCAGUUCAUCACGUUAGCAGAUACCUGCGUUCCAAAACAUUUUUCAAGACAAUGCAUGGGUCCGGUUGGAACGUAUUGAAGUUUGAACUUAAAAUGGCCCUAAAGAUUGAUGCUAUACAACGUUUGACAUGUUUGAACGAACGUAAAUAGUACUUUUUUUUACUUUCGUCGUGAAGGUUUUCUCGCGCGCCCUACAUUUUGAGUAGCCUACUGAACGCGCAAACAACAUGGAGUUAUUUGGACAUAAAUUAUGAACUUUAUCGAACAAAACAACAUUUAUUGUGGACCUGGGAAUCCUGGAAGUGCCUUCUGAUGAAGAUUAUUAAAGGUAAGUGAAUACUUCUUAUGCUAUUUAUGCGUUUAGAUGACUCCAAGACGGCCGGUGUCUAUAAUUGCCUGCUGUUUUUUUCUGAGCGCAGUACUCAGAUUAUUGCAAAGUGUGCUCUCCCAGUAAAGUUAUUUUGAAAUCUGUCAACGCGAUUGCAUUCAGGAGAUGUUAAUCUAUAAUUCUUUGAAUAACAGUUUAAUAUUUUAUCAACGUUUAUAAUGAGUCAUUUUGUAAUUUGUUGUGCUGAUUCACCGGCAGUUUCGGAGGAAAGAUAUUUUCUGAACAUCACGCGCCAAUGUAAAAUGCUGUUUUUGGAUAUAAAUAUGAACUUGAUAGACAAUACAUGCAUUUUUUGUUCUAACAUAAUGUCCGAGGAGUGUCAUCUGAUGAAGAUUGUCAAAGGUUAGUGCAUAAUUUUUGCUGGUUUUCUGCUUUUGGUGACGCUUGUCCUUGCAUUGAAAAUGGCUGUGUGUAAUUUUUUGUCUAUGUACUGUCCUAACAUAAUCUAACUUUAUGCUUUCGCCGUAAAGCCGUUUUGAAAUCGGACAACGUGGUUGGAUUCAGGAGAUGUUUAUCUAUAAAAUGGUGUAAAAUAGUUGUAUGUUUGAGAAAUUUGAAUUAUGGCAUUUUGUUGUUUUCGAAUUUGGCGCUCUGAUUUUUCACUGGCUGUUGAAUAGUGUGAACCGUGGGUGGGACGCUAGCGUCCCACGUAGCCCAUAGAAGAUAACAGACAUGAACCACCCUACAUAGGAACCCUAGAAAGGGUAAAGAUGGGGACUAGGACAGGACAGCAGUUUUGAAUCAGACACAGUACAGGACAGACAUACUUUAUAGGACAACUUCAUGGCUUUUAGAAUUUCCCCAGGUAAUAUACAACUGUUUCCAUGACAACUCCCUCACUAACAGGAAGGUGACUGCUUGAUCUUUAUUAACAAACACUGAAAUGGGGAGCUGAACUGAAACUAGUGGCUGUAAAUAAAAUACACUCUCUCUCAAUUCAAUUCCAUUCAAGGGGCUUUAUUGGCAUGGGAAACAUAUGUUAACAUUGCCAAAGCAAGUGAAAUGGAUAAAUAAAAGUGAAAUAAACAAUAAAAAGUUAACAGUAAAUAUUACACUCACACAAGUUCCAAAUAAAUAAAGACAUUUCAAAUGUCAUUAUGUCUAUAUAUACAGUGUAGUCUCUCUCUCUAUGUCUCUCUCUAUGUCUCUCUCUCUCUCUCUCUGUGUGUCUCUGUCUCUCUCUCUCUCUCUUUCUGUGUCUCUGUCUCUCUCUCUGUCUCUCUCUCUCUCUCUCUCUCUCUCUCUCUCUCUGUAUCUCUCUCUCUCUGUAUCUCUCUUUCUCUGUCUCUCUCUCUCUCUGUCCAUCCAUCCAGUCAGUCGUUGUUUAGGGAGGUUUAUAACGGAGGGUAGAUGGAGAAAGCAGAAGAGAACAGCUCUACCUCACACACAGUCAGCGUCCCAAAUGACACCCCUACUCCCUACAUAGUGCACUACUUUAGACCAGGGCCUAUAGGGCUCUAUGUAGGGAAUACGAUACCAUUUGGGACGCACCCACAGACCCGGUUCUCAUUUUGGUUAAGGGGGGGUGUCAGACUCCCAGCCAGCUUGGCUAGAACAAACACCAGAGACUCCAGAGACUAAUAGUCCCAGAAAUAAUUACUAAAUCACAUCACUGUGUUUUCUUUACCAUAUCUGAUUGUCACAUGUGUGUUCUAGAACAGGGUAAAAUAAUCCCCCUCUAACACUCCCCCUCUAACAAUCCCCCUCUAAUAAUCCCCCUCUAAUAAUCCCCCUCUAACACUCCCCCUCUAACACUCCCUCUAACACUCCCCCUCUAACACUCCCCCUCUAAUAAUCCCCCUCUAACACUCCCCCUCUAACACUCCCCCUCUAAUAAUCCCCCUCUAAUAAUCCCCCUCUAAUAAUCCCCCUCUAACACUCCCCCUCUAAUAAUCCCCCUCUAACACUCCCCCUCUAACACUCCCCUAGACACUUCUGCAAUGCAGGACGGCCUUUCUAUAGCAGCCAUGUUUAGAGACAAACACUAAGCAUGUGUGUGUGUGUGUGUGUGUGUGUCUGUCUGUGAGUCACUGGGCCGGACCUGUUCCUAGUUAUCACAGCUUUUCUUGCCUGUCUUUAUUCUGUUUUCUUAGGCAGGUCUCAGGAGUAUACUGCUGCUACAGAGGCCCUGGUCCAGCCCUGUGUUACUGUGUGGCUGUGUCUGUAUGUAGAAGGGUGGGGGUGUGUGUGCAUGGAUAUACUAUGUGUCUGUGCACGCUUAAACUAUGUGUGUGUGAGGUCUCAGCAGUAUCCUCUAGCUGCUGUUACAGAGAGAGGCCCCAGGCCCCACUGGCCCCCAGGCUCUGUGUUACUGCCACUCCUACAGGGUUAGAGCUCAUAAAUCUAUAGGAGAGAUAUGGAGGGAGGAGAAGAGAGGGGAUGAGGAGAGAUGAAGGAGAGGACGGACAGGAGAAAGAGGAGGGGUGUUUUGGAUGUGGAUAUGAGGGUCUGUGAGGGAGGGAGUGAGGGAGGGAGGGAGGAGUGAGUGGAGAGGAUGGAGAAGAGGGAGGGAGGAUAGAGGGGGGAGAGGAGGGAGAAGAGGGAGGGAGGGAGGAUAGAGGGAUAGAGGGGGGAGAAGAGGGAGGGAGGGAUAGAGGAGAGGAGGGAGAGGGAUAGAGGGAGG